GGUGUAGGCGGCCUUUCAAGUCGGAUGUGAAAUCUCCCGGCUUAACUGGGAGAGGUCAUUCGAUACUGAUAGGCUGGAGUGCAGCAGAGGGAAGCGGAACUCCCGGUGUAGUGGUGAAAUGCGUAGAUAUCGGGAAGAACACCAGUGGCGAAAGCGGCUUUCUGGGCUGUUACUGACGCUGAGAUCCGAAGGCGUGGGGAGCAAACAGGAUUAGAUACCCUGGUAGUCCACGCAGUAAACUAUGGAUACUAGGUAUAGGGAGUAUCGACCCUCUCUGUGCCGAAGCUAACGCUUUAAGUAUCCCGCCUGGGGACUACGGUCGCAAGACUAAA
This 332-nucleotide ribosomal RNA is filed under the name uncultured bacterium. RNAcentral's name for it is "bacterial SSU rRNA". It matches the Rfam family "Bacterial small subunit ribosomal RNA", at positions 568 to 898 of the family's 1533-position model. The record is from RNAcentral.